Perca fluviatilis (European perch) is the source of this 467-nucleotide long non-coding RNA. RefSeq lists it as uncharacterized. The transcript has 4 exons. Lineage: Eukaryota; Metazoa; Chordata; Actinopteri; Perciformes; Percidae. The record is from RefSeq and is a predicted model, not a curated record.
UGUACAGCUGGUUGCUGAACCCGGUGGGUGGUGAGGAACACAGCACAGAGAUGAUGCACAUCACGGAGGUCCAAACCAUUCUGGCAAUGCGGACAAGAAUGUACGUCAUUUUCGGGGCAGAAAAAUCUACUGCCGGAGUCGGGCGAGCUACCCGACAAGGAGACUCGAUCUUCAGGGGACACAGGAAGAUGGCUGCUGACACCACUACAAAUAUCACUGCAAUCAGGAACUUAGACCCUGGUGAGAAAAAAAAAGUCAAACAAUAAGUGUGGAAGCCCUGGAAGACGAACGAGCACAGCAGGGUCAACGCCCCAACAGCACCAAACUGCAAGAAAGGAGCUGUGGCCUGCCGACAGGCCGACACGCACAUCAGAAACACAUGACGGACACAGGCAACUAAGAACAAAACAACAACAGACAUUUACAUUAUAAUAUUCCCACAAAAACUGGUCUCACUGUACCUGGAG